RNAcentral lists this ribosomal RNA (253 nucleotides) under uncultured bacterium. RNAcentral's name for it is "partial 16S ribosomal RNA". It matches the Rfam family "Bacterial small subunit ribosomal RNA", at positions 524 to 776 of the family's 1533-position model. The record is from RNAcentral.
UACGAAGGGUGCAAGCGUUGUUCGGAUUUAUUGGGCGUAAAGCGCAUGUAGGCGGUUUAUCAAGUCAGGUGUGAAAUCUUGGGGCUUAACCCCGAAACUGCGCCUGAAACUAAUGAACUAGAAUGUCAGAGAGGAAAGCGGAAUUUCGCAUGUAGGGGUAAAAUCCGUAGAGAUGCGAAGGAACAUCAGAGGCGAAGGCGGCUUUCUGGAUGACUAUUGACGCUGAGGUGCGAAAGCGUGGGGAGCAAACAGG